Molecule: non-coding RNA, 288 nt
Organism: Cajanus cajan (pigeon pea)
Lineage: Eukaryota; Viridiplantae; Streptophyta; Magnoliopsida; Fabales; Fabaceae
Source: RefSeq, a predicted model, not a curated record
UUUAAUUCAAAAACCUGAUUUCUCGUUCUGAAUUGCUCCGCACCCCUUGCUCGUCUCCGUUCUCGAAUCAUGUCUCCAUUCACAGAUAUCCAAGAAGCACUCACAGAUCUUGUAUUCGAACGUUCACCAAUUUAUCAAUAGAAACUAAGGAACUGCCCAGAGAUUUGGAAGGCAACCACCUCGAAGGCUUGAGUUUGUUCAUUGAGUUGGUGGCAUGAACACUAAGGGGUGAUUGUAUAGAGCUGGAGACCUUGCUUGUGAUUUUAAAGAUACACAUAGUAGUCACCU